RNAcentral lists this long non-coding RNA (927 nucleotides) under Elaeis guineensis (African oil palm). RNAcentral's name for it is "long non-coding RNA (EGUI_LNC035966)". The record is from RNAcentral. Lineage: Eukaryota; Viridiplantae; Streptophyta; Magnoliopsida; Arecales; Arecaceae.
GGUACUAUCAAAUCAGGAUUUUAGUGAAAUUACGAUUUUGCCCUUGAAGAGCAUAAGGAUUUUUUCAUUUUAAAAUUAUUUGUAUCCCUUCAAUCUGCUUUGUAAUCAUCAAAAUCAAUCUAGGAGCAACAAUCUCUCCCUUUUUGAUGAUGACAAAAUAUUUGAACAAAAAUACUUAUGUUAAUGCAUUAAUUUUAAAAGAAUCCAUUAUAGGUGUAUAUGCUUAAAAAAAGUAUGAUUCUUUUGGCAUGUAAUAUAAAUGCAAAAAUAGUUUGUCCAUUUUCUUAAAGAUUUAAAAAGGGUAUUAAAUCAUUUUGAGCAAGAGAAGAUAAAUAACUUUUGCAAUGUAUCAGAGCAAGAAAAAUAAUUUUUACAAUGAUAUCAGAAAAGAUUUUAUAAUGUAUCGGAGCAAAAAAAUUUUAUAAUAUAUCAGAGAAAAUUUCACAGUGUAUUAGAGCAAAUGUCAGAGAAAAUUUCACACUGUAUCAAAGCAAAAAAAAUAUAUAUCAGAGAAACUUUCUCACUAUAUCAGAUCAAAUGUUAUAAUUUAUCAGAGAAACCUUCACACUGUAUCGGAUUAAAUUUUAUCAUGUAUCAGAGCAAGUUAAAAGAAAUUGUAGGGUGUAUCAGAGUAAAACAAAUUUCUUAAGAUGUAUCAAAGUGAAUAAAAUUUUAAAAGAUGUAUCAGAGCAAGUUUGAAUUUUGAAAUAUAUCAGAGCAUAAAAAAUACUUAUUUGCAUUGUACUUAUGAUUUUGCUUUUGAUGGAUAACUUUUUGUUUAAGUUCUGUCUGAUAUCAAAUUUCGAUACCAAAUUUCUCAAAAUUUUGUUUAAUCUUUCAAUCCUUGUUUUUGUUUAAUUUCUCCAAUAUUUAUUUAAUUUCUCCAAUAUUUAUUUUAAUCUUCCAAUCUUUGUUUUUGUUUGAUUU